CCAAGACCUUGUUUUCAGACCUUUGUGGAACGUGUCCCACUAAACUCUACAGGCAUUUCAGACCUCAAAGUCAUCCUCAACCAGGGACAGAAUGUUAAGCAAACCGUGGGGUGUGUGUUCGAGAAGGUCUUCACACCGUCCUUGGCAACCCAACUGAACCAGAGCGGGAGGGGGCAGAAGACUGUCAUCUGGUCAGUGCCACUGAAGGAUGCUAUUAUGUGUUCUGUUCUUAAAAACCCACAUUUUCCACGAAUAACGGAGGCCGAGGUUGAAAGGGCAGUUGAAAACUGUCUCAGGCUGAGUCAAGAUUGACUCGGGGACGGCAGCUGGAGGGAGAGAUCUGCGGAAGAAGAGG
Esox lucius (northern pike) is the source of this 355-nucleotide long non-coding RNA. RefSeq lists it as uncharacterized. NCBI's taxonomy places the organism in Eukaryota, Metazoa, Chordata, Actinopteri, Esociformes, Esocidae. The record is from RefSeq and is a predicted model, not a curated record. The transcript is spliced from 3 exons.